Molecule: transfer RNA, 69 nt
Filed under: Ictidomys tridecemlineatus (thirteen-lined ground squirrel)
Lineage: Eukaryota; Metazoa; Chordata; Mammalia; Rodentia; Sciuridae
Description: Spermophilus tridecemlineatus (thirteen-lined ground squirrel) tRNA
Rfam family: tRNA
About the family: Transfer RNA (tRNA) molecules are approximately 80 nucleotides in length. Their secondary structure includes four short double-helical elements and three loops (D, anti-codon, and T loops).
Source: Rfam by way of RNAcentral
GGGGUCAUGGCUCAGAGGUAGAGCACUCGCCUCGAAUGUGUGAGACCAUGGGUUCAACCCCCAGCACCA